This 4473-nucleotide long non-coding RNA is filed under the name Homo sapiens (human). Its description in RNAcentral is "HSALNT0170295". The record is from RNAcentral. Lineage: Eukaryota; Metazoa; Chordata; Mammalia; Primates; Hominidae.
GGAGGGGAAGGUGGGGGUUGGUGGGUGGAGGAUGUGGAGUCAGCUGGGCAGACCCUCCCCUACCUCCCAGCUGUGAGCCUGUGGUUGCAGGCUGUGGCCUCCUACCUGUGUGGCCAGGUCACUUGCUGCCCUCACAGCCUCUCCACACAGACGCCAAAGGUCUCCUUUCCUCCUGGGCUCUGCCCUGACAUUACUUCAUUGGUCUUACCCAAGACCCGUCCUGCCUGAGCCCCAUUCUCUCCCUUUCCCAGGAUGGCAGCUGAAUGGCUGGAUGGGAUCUGAAGUCUCCCUUUCCCAGGAUGGCAGCUGAAUGGCUGGAUGGGAUCCCGUCUGGCGGUUACCAAGCAUGGUCCCUGCCUCCUGCUUCUCCAUCAGGAACACGGUGGUGGUCUUCCCAGUGGGGCCCGCAGGAGUGUGCACGGAUGUCCACAGCUGCUGUAAUGUUUGCCUCUGAAGCCAGAGUACGCAUCGUGGGGUGCUAUCGCUGUGCGCCUCUGCAGAGCCCAACAGUUCAGACUUCAAAACUUCAGGGCCGUGGCCUGGGAUUCAGGCGGAAGAGACAGAGUAUUUGAUAAUUCAUCCAGUUACACUGCCCUUCUGUAGCGAGCUGCCGAACUGGACCCUGGAGGACAUUUGCACAGAUGCUCAUGUAGAUACCUGAUUAGAUGUGCUUUCACCACAAGGAAAUGCAGCUAAGAUCCUCAUCGUGGAAAUGCAGUUUCCUUUUAUUUGAGACUGCCUGCUGAAGGUUGGAUGGGACCAGGGCUGACGGAAGACAAAAGGCAUCUUUGGUAUCAUUUGAGGGUUAAUACAAAUCACUUCCUUCUUUACAAAAAAGGGUAAUUACAAGCACUGGUAGAUUAACUGUAUUAGACCCUGAUUGUAUGCAGGGGCCAUUUAUUACAGGCAACGUUUAUUCCACACUUCCUGGUGCCUCUUCGGCAUCCCACACUGGUGAUUUCACAGUGGAAGCUUCCAUUCUGGGUUUCUGUUGUGGGAGGUGUGUGGCCUCUGGCACCGGUACAGCCCCUGGGCAUGUCUAGAUCUGCCAGGAGUGGUGGUAGAAAGGUGCCAGCCGGGGCUUCAGGGCCCAGACGCUUCUCCUCCCAUCUGGAUGGACACUCGGGGUUCCAGUUACACACGGGCAGAAUCAGCACCUUGGGAAUUUGAGCCAUCUGCAAGCAGAUCCCUUUACAUUCAAGGGAAGGCUUGUGUCUGACAAAUGAAAAUGGGACACUUUCCAGCUUUCCACGUUGUAAGCUAAACCACUUGCCCCUGCAUCAGCAUGUCUGGAAGUGGGCUCCUCAGAUGCCGGAGAUCUGCAGACGUGCUCUUGGGGUCUGGUUCUCUGUACUCCAUGUUACCUGGGCUGCCUUGUGAAUGAGCCCUAUCUGUGGUUUCACAUGUGGGUGUAUGCAGAGCUCUUCCCAAGGAGUGGGCGGGCACUUCUUCAUAUGUGGGUCUCCAGCUGUCCCUCUGGUCUGCUGCUCCAGACUUCAGGCUGGAAUCACACAAAUGCCACUCCGUUUCACUAAACCCCACUCUGGUCUCAGGCCUUGCAGUCAGCCGCUCUGCGCUGGCCUCUAGCUCUCUCUAAUUUGGAAUGCUGUCACUGGCCCCAGAUGCUGCUCCUCUCAUGGCUCGCUGGCUCACCUGUUCCACAGCAGCUGCCUGUGGACUCCUCCAGGUGCAGGGGACAGGGCCAGUAUUGCAUAAAAGUUUAAAAAGUCACCACAGCAGAGGGACAUCAUGUCUGGUUGCCAAACUUGUUUUUUUCUGACUUUUCAUUGUAAAACAAAACACAGAUAUGGAAAACCACACAAAACACGCACACAGCUGAAAUGGGUUAUGAUAAAGCAGCCCUCCCCCACCUCCCUGCAACUACCACCAAGUUGAGGAAUGGACCUUUGCAGACUCUCCAGAAACCACAUGUUCCUCAUCCCUGUCAGUCUCGCCAGCCCCUGCCUCAAAUUAACAUCACCACGAAUUCAACAUCUUGGUCCUUGCCCUUCUUGUGGUCUGUCAGUCACGUGCAUGCCUAGAAUCUAGAGUUUCCUCUUGCCCAUUUUCUUUUUAAUCUGAGGUCUUUAAAUCCCUUUCAUUCUACAAGUUCUCCUUCUACUCUUUUCUUUCCCAUACAACUUACCUGUUGUAGAAUUCACGGUUUUUGCCCAUAGAAUGUCCCAGUCUGGCUUUUGCCAAGUGCAAAGUUAUGGGGCAAUACAACACCAUCUUCUGUGCUCUCAACCUGCACAUUGGUUCCUGCAUCCAGAGCCCGAUCCUAAGGAUCUCUUUCUUAAGAUUACAGUCGGCAUUUUGUUUCUUUAUUGGGAGGCAUAUAACACUUGAUUGCUUCUCUCUGCGAUGCCAGCUGCUGUGGAUGCUGCUAGAGUCAUGAAUCCAUCAUGGGUUACACAAUGGUUAGCCUGAUGGCACCAUGGUUUCUGUUCUUGAACAGCAAUGCUGUGAUAAAGACAUGCCUCCCCUUAUCUAUGACUUGCUUCCCCUGAGGAACAGCUCACAGACAGACGAGGCUAAAUGCUUGAUUCUCUUCAUCUGUUUUCAAGAUAAUGAACUGGGACACUGUCGUUCCAUGAAUAUAAUAUUCUCUGAAUUUUCUUAUUAAUUUGUGGAUUAGACUUAUUUAAUAAGUUUCAAUCAGUUGAAAUUAACAUCCUUCCUGAAACUGAGAUUGUCCCAUCUCCCCUAAUAGGAGCCUUUUCAAGUUGGACUUGAGCCCUGGUAACACAGCCAUGGCCACCUUGACCUCUCCGCCCUCUGGUGCUGCCCAGGCCCAGAUCAUAUUCCACUCCCCCAGUACCUGGGAGCAGUCAUUUCCCCGAGAAACCCCACUUAUCCCGUGGCAAAGGUGUUUCCCAACUGUCCCAGGAGCACUGCGAGUGCUCACUAUAGAUGGCAGAGCUGGGAAAGGCCUUAGGAGUUUGAGCCAUUUCUUCCAAUUCAAAUUCAGGAUGAAAGAGUUUGAUUUAAUCUCCUCUUAUUUAACAUCUGUGUCUCCUUUGUUCAACACCAAAAGUUCUAGCAGCACUCAAGGAUGAUAGAAUCAGGAUAUCUCACAGAACUGCGCAUUUCUUCUAUUGCACAUUAUACACACAAUUGUUUCAGAAUAAAAAUAUUAUAUGUGUGUAUAUAUUAUAUAUCAGUAAUAAUGUUAUCACCACUGAUAUCAUGGCUAAAAAUAAUAUUUUUCUGUGUGUGUUUUCUGUUUCCACUUCCAUUUUAAAAUAGAAGUAUUGUGUCUACAUGGUCAAUUCAUAUAGCCAUUAUAUACAAUUUUUUCUCCCUUUUAGCCCUCAUUUUCCUAGUUCUACAGGUAACUAUAUAAAUGCUUAUCACUAGUCUUUAAUGAAAAUCUUUGUUGCCAUUUUUGGUUGAAGUUCAUUCUCUAGGAUGAGCUCUCUCUUAGCAUAGGCGCAUGGGAACAAUAUUUCUGAAUUCUUGAAUGCUGAUAACACUUCCUCUCUUUGAUACUUGAAAGUCAGUUUUGCUGGGUAUAAGAUUCUUGGUUCACAUUUUUUCCUUAAUAAAACUUAAUAGAUAUAAGAUUUUAGCUUUUUUCAGGCAUAAAGCUUUGCUGUAAAAGCAUGAUGAUACUCUAUUUUUGUAUUCCUUACAAUAUCUUGCUUUUCAACCUAGAUGCCAAAAAUGUUUUUUUUUAAUUUUUCUGUAAAAGUUUAGUAUUUUAAUGCGUAUAUCUUGGUGUUGGUUAUUCUGGAUCUAUAUUCUCAGGUAGCUGGCAUGUACUUUCAAUAUGGCCAUUUUAAAUCUCUCUUAAAGUAAGGAAAGUUGUUGUGAAAGACAGUUUUUAUACUGACUUUGUUUCCUGCUUUGAUUUUCUCCUGCAGGGUCCAUUUGUACAUGCCACCUUCUGUGCCUGCCUUUCAUAUUUGUCCUUUUGUAUUUCUUGAGUCCCCUUCUUUCUUACUUUCUUCCUUUUUUAUUUUAAAAAGCCUUUCUUUGUUACCUUCUAUUUUUCUUAAGGUAUUGUCUCUUGUGUUUCCUCCAUUCAUGUCUCUGAUAGCUUAGUUUUCAUUUCUGAAGUGAUUUUUAGCAUUUUUUAUUCUUCCUGUUUUAUCGUCUCAUUUCUGAAUUCUUUUAAAUGAUGAUUUUUGUUUUUAUUGCAUGUUUUAUAGAAUCUGUAAUCUCAUUUUGAACUACUACUAAGCUGUUUCCACCCAUUGUCUGAGCUGCAUCUCUGCCAUGCUUUAAUUGUCCAUAUAGAUAUUAUUCUGUGCCAUAUUAUCCAUUUUCUUAUAAAUACUGUUAGUGAAAAUUUGUCAUGUCUCAUUUUUUAAAUCAAUAUUUUGAACUAUUAAAAGCACGUAGCAUAAAAUUUACCAUUGUAACCAUUUUUUUUUUUUUUUUGAGAUGGAGUCUCGCUCUGUUGCCCAGGCUAGAGUGCAGUGGUGCGAUCUCAGGUCACUGCAAGCUCCGCCUCCUGGGUUCACGCCA